Molecule: ribosomal RNA, 378 nt
Filed under: uncultured eukaryote
Lineage: Eukaryota
Description: SSU rRNA
Rfam family: Eukaryotic small subunit ribosomal RNA
Source: RNAcentral
AGCUCCAAUAGCGUAUAUUAAAGUUGUUGCAGUUAAAAAGCUCGUAGUUGGACUUCUGGUUUGGGGUGGUGGUCCGCCUAACGGUGUGCACUGUUGCCUUGAGCCUUCUUCCUGUAGUCCGUUUGUGCACUUAAUUGUGUGCUCUUGGAAUAUGGGACCUUUACUUUGAAAAAAUUAGAGUGUUCAAAGCAGGCCUUCGCUUGAAUACAUUAGCAUGGAAUAAUAGAAUAGGACUUUGGUUCUAUUUUGUUGGUUUCUAGGACCGAAGUAAUGAUUAAUAGGGACGGUUGGGGGCAUUAGUAUUUAAUUGUCAGAGGUGAAAUUCUUGGAUUUAUGAAAGACUAACUACUGCGAAAGCAUUUGCCAAGGAUGUUUUCA